AAAUUUUAUUUAGAGCAUGAUGAACCCAGCCGUUAGCAGGAAGGCGGCACAACAACGUCAGCGGCGCACCUACAGAGUGAGAAGAGAUAUUUUCGCUGAGUACGACGAUGCUGAGUUACUGAAAAGAUUCAGAUUGGACCGUGCUGGUAUUGUUGCAGUGACUGAUAUAGUGAGAGACAAGCUGCAAAGUAAAACUGAAAGAAAUAGAGCCUUGACCCCCUGAGAUGGUGGCCAUCACAUUACGAUAUUUAGCCACAGGAAAAAUGCAACAGUGCAGUUGUGAUGAUUUUGGAACAACGCAGCCCACUAUCAGCCGUGCAAUAUCACAGACAAUUGAUGCACUGGCUGACCCAGAAGUAAUCUGCCAGUUCGUGGCUUUCCCUCACACCCAGCGUGAAGUGCAGCAAAAACAGGCAGAGUUCAUGCAAGUAACUCAGUUUCCCGGUGUUGUGGGAGUGAUUGAUGGCACUCAUAUAAGAAUUGUGUCUCCUCAUGUCGAUGAACAUGUAUAUGUGAACAGGAAACGCUAUCACAGCAUAAAUGUGCAAGUAGUAUUUGAUGCUCACUAUAAGAUUCUUGACAUUGUGGCAAGGUGGCCUGGCUCAGUCAACGAUGCAAGAAUACUAGAUAAGUCAGCACUCAAACUGAUGUUUGAGGAACAACAUGUACCUGCAGGAUGCUAUACCUUCCCGGGGACAGUGGCUAUCCCUGUAAGCAGUGGCUCCUCACUCCUUACCUUCGCCCUCAAACUGUUGCACAAGCUAAUUAUAACAGUUCCAGUACCUUACGAUGCAGCCGAGGGGACUGACGCCACCACCACCACUGCCACCACCGCCACAACAAGGGUUAUUCAAAUGGGGAACAUGCUUCAGGUGUUGCCCCAAGAUGCCUCAGCCCCGCAGCCCCCACUUCCCCAUGAUAGUGCAGGCAGGGAAUGUCAUACAGGUUGUUCCAGCUGACAACACGCAGGUAUUAGGGGCAGAAGUCGUUGGAGUUGGUCGGGUCAUGCAAGUGGUCGGAGUCCCAGGCUUUCCCCCGACCCCAGCCCCAGACCCCUGCCCCCAGCCACCCCUCUCCCUGUGACCCCUGCCCAGUCAUCCCUCACCCCCUCCUGCCCCCCCUGCGGUGCUGCCAGCGGGGGGGGUGAUGGGAGGUGGAGGUGGGCCACACACACCUGGGUUAGCUGUGGCUUGGCUUAUCUCCCUCCUCAGCAGCAAAUCCCGAGGAUCAACGAGGACAUGGUGGACCCCAAGAGAUUGCAGCAGCAGCAAGAGAGAGAGAGAGAAGCAAGAGAGGAGGGAGAGGAAGGAGAGGAGGAGGAGAGAGAGGGAGGCCAGGAGGGAGGCACGUCAGAGAGAGAGGGAGAGGAAGAGGUUGAUUCUGUUACAACAACAACUGCAACAACAACAACAGUUAGUCAGUGAGGAGGGGGAGGGGCCGUCCUCUGAUGCUGAGGAUGAGGUAUUGUUCAGGGUAAGUAGUAGUAGUAAUGCAUCAUUUUUAAACUUUCCGAGAUAAUCUUAUUUCAACAGGUAGAGAUGAAAAAGUCCUCUAACUGACAAAAAAAAAACAUUAUCUAUUUAUUUUGUUAUGUAGGCCAGCCAGCCGUGGGGGGGGACAAAACUUCAAUAAAAGAGACUCUCUGAGGUGUGGCUCCCCAAAAUAGAAUUGCAAAUGGUAGCCAGAAUUUACAUGAAUACUGGAGGGUGCUGUCAGGCCAAACCAGCUCCCCAUCUGUGCCUAUGCAGUGUCUGGCCAGCCACUAGUGUGUUUUGGGGGCUCAGACCAGCAGAUUCCCACUGUUUAUUCACUGUUUGUGUUGAUGCAGUGUCUGGCCAGCCACUUGUGUGUUUUGGGGGCUCAGACCAGCAGAUUCCCAGUGUUUAUUCACUGUUUGUGUUGAUGCAGUGUCUGGCCAGCCACUUGUGUGUUUUGGGGGCUCAGACCAGCAGAUUCCCAGUGUUUAUUCACUGUUUGUGUUGAUUUAGUGUUUGGCCAGCCACUUGUGUGUUUUGGGGGCUCAGACCAGCAGAUUCCCACUGUUUAUUCACUGUUUGUGUUGAUCUAGUGUUUGGCCAGCCACUUGUGUGUAUGUAGGGGACUCAGACCAGCAGAUUCCCACUGUUUAUCCACUGUUUGUGUUGAUGCAGUGUUUGGCCAGCCACUUGUGUGUUUUGGGGGCUCAGACCAGCAGAU
Molecule: RNA transcript, 2196 nt
Organism: Scylla paramamosain (green mud crab)
Lineage: Eukaryota; Metazoa; Arthropoda; Malacostraca; Decapoda; Portunidae
Gene name: ensconsin-like
Exons: 4
Source: RefSeq, a predicted model, not a curated record